Molecule: signal recognition particle RNA, 310 nt
Filed under: Candidatus Bathyarchaeota archaeon
Lineage: Archaea; Thermoproteati; Candidatus Bathyarchaeota
Description: signal recognition particle sRNA
Rfam family: Archaeal signal recognition particle RNA
Source: RNAcentral
CGGAGGGUAGGACCGGGGAACUAGCCCUGCCCUAUCACCCUUAACGGGCUAUAAAGGGGGUCAGCAACCUCAAGGGAGCUGGUGAAGCGGGCUGUAAGGCGCUCAGCAAUCCGUUGAAGGCCUGCCUCAUGGGGCUGGCGGUUGUGGCCUUCACCUCUGUAGGGAGGUGAAGGAGCAUUCACUAGGUGAACCUGGCCAGGCCCGGGAGGGAGCAACCUAAAUCUGGACGUUCAGCGCUCAUGUGUAACGGGCUCGAGGAGGGCUAAGCGUAGCUGCAGGUCGAUUAGCCUGCGACCUUGAGGAGCCUCCG